CCAAAAAUUUUGUUUUCGAAAUACAGGUGUUAAAGUUCAAUUUUUUCUGUAAUAGCACUUUCCCUUUACAAGAUAUUCAAAUUGAAUUGGCAUAGAUAUUUUCCGAUUUGAAGUUUUCGUCAUUUGAUUUCCUAAUUUUGGAUGCAAAUCUACAAGGUGAUAUUUUUUUUGGAGGGUAGCCUGCUUCUUUCCUCCAGAACUAUUUUUUGGUGAACUGCUGGCAGUUAUGAAAAGUGUGAAAAAAAUCUCUGAUCCAGUACUACACUUGGUUUCUUAUAGUUUUGUCGUAUCUGUCGAUUUUGAUAACAUAAUUUCAAACAGCUGUCUAGUAAUCCUCAGGAAAAUCCAAAUUAUUAUAAACAUCCAGUUAGUAAACUGUCAUGAAAUAAUUAGUUAUAAGAUUUGUUACUUAUUUACCCACUCUUUAGCGAUGAUUAAUAAAUAUUUGAUGCACUGAUAAUAUGCAUCACUUAAAAGUACGACACACUAGAAACACCCUGUAUCUCGAAAACAAAGCGUUUGCGGGCCAAAGAAUCUCAUUUUACUCCGUAACUCUAACACCCAGUAUAAGAACAAUCGAAUUGGUGAUGAAAAAAAAAUUGAGUGAUUUAGUUCAAACUUCGUUAUCGAACUUCUUUUUCACAUUUAAUUUCGCCCUUGAUUUCGAAACCCUGUCAACAUUUGUUUUCAACAAUAAAUUAAACAAUUUUUUUCUUUUCAGAAUGAAUACGCAUUUGAAACCGUGUGGUGUUUGUGCACAAGUGACGAACGAAAAUUUUUUUGUUGGAAAAUGUUUGCACAUUUUCCAUAAAAAAUGCCUUAGCAACGAGUCAACAUGCCCGGAAUGCAAAAUAGAAAUGGGAGCUAAUUUGGUGGAAGGAGAGUGUGGCAUUUGCUUGGAGCCCCUAGAAAAAGAAGUUCUUAUCACGAAGUGCCGACACGCAUUCCACUAUGACUGUAUUCUUAAAUGGGCCAGUACAAGCGGUAACUGUCCCUAUUGCCGCAGCCUGGUGGAAGUGAAAGAUAUAGCGGGGGAAACCGAGGGAGAAACGGACAGCUCUUCCUCACAUACAGAUUUUUCGGAUACUUUCAUCCGCAAUUUUGUUCGGAAUUAUUUCCAUUUCCAAAGAACAGGAGCAGGAGCAUCUCUAAUAAUAUGUACAGACUCAUUAGCGAGAGGUAUAGACUUGCCAGGAAUUGAGUAUGUAUUUUCAUAUUCAGCACCAAAGCACUUGAAAACAUAUAUCCAUAGAGCUGGAAGAACUGCCAGAGCAGGUUGCCUAGGGACUGCAGUAACAUUACUGCAUACCACACAGGUUGGCCAUUUCAAGUCGUUACUUGAACAUGCCGGAAAAACCAACAUCGAAGAGUCUGUAUUUGUCAUUGUCAGCACCAAAGCACUUGAAAACAUAUAUCCAUAGAGCUGGAAGAACUGCCAGAGCAGGUUGCCUAGGGACUGCAGUAACAUUACUGCAUACCACACAGGUUGGCCAUUUCAAGUCGUUACUUGAACAUGCCGGAAAAACCAACAUCGAAGAGGUGAGUUAAAUUUUUUCAAUACUCCAACCUUGAGUCAGAAGUUUUUGCUUUGUUAGCUGCCUGAUUUCUGCGAUAAUAUGAAUUUUGAUUCCAGUCUGUAUUUGUCAUUGUCAGCACCAAAGCACUUGAAAACAUAUAUCCAUAGAGCUGGAAGAACUGCCAGAGCAGGUUGCCUAGGGACUGCAGUAACAUUACUGCAUACCACACAGGUUGGCCAUUUCAAGUCGUUACUUGAACAUGCCGGAAAAACCAACAUCGAAGAGGUGAGUUAAAUUUUUUCAAUACUCCAACCUUGAGUCAGAAGUUUUUGCUUUGUUAGCUGCCUGAUUUCUGCGAUAAUAUGAAUUUUGAUUCCAGUAUGUAUUUGUCAUUGUCAGCACCAAAGCACUUGAAAACAUAUAUCCAUAGAGCUGGAAGAACUGCCAGAGCAGGUUGCCUAGGGACUGCAGUAACAUUACUGCAUACCACACAGGUUGGCCAUUUCAAGUCGUUACUUGAACAUGCCGGAAAAACCAACAUCGAAGAGGUGAGUUAAAUUUUUUCAAUACUCCAACCUUGAGUCAGAAGUUUUUGCUUUGUUAGCUGCCUGAUUUCUGCGAUAAUAUGAAUUUUGAUUCCAGUCUGUAUUUGUCAUUGUCAGCACCAAAGCACUUGAAAACAUAUAUCCAUAGAGCUGGAAGAACUGCCAGAGCAGGUUGCCUAGGGACUGCAGUAACAUUACUGCAUACCACACAGGUUGGCCAUUUCAAGUCGUUACUUGAACAUGCCGGAAAAACCAACAUCGAAGAGGUGAGUUAAAUUUUUUCAAUACUCCAACCUUGAGUCAGAAGUUUUUGCUUUGUUAGCUGCCUGAUUUCUGCGAUAAUAUGAAUUUUGAUUCCAGUCUGUAUUUGUCAUUGUCAGCACCAAAGCACUUGAAAACAUAUAUCCAUAGAGCUGGAAGAACUGCCAGAGCAGGUUGCCUAGGGACUGCAGUAACAUUACUGCAUACCACACAGGUUGGCCAUUUCAAGUCGUUACUUGAACAUGCCGGAAAAACCAACAUCGAAGAGUCUGUAUUUGUCAUUGUCAGCACCAAAGCACUUGAAAACAUAUAUCCAUAGAGCUGGAAGAACUGCCAGAGCAGGUUGCCUAGGGACUGCAGUAACAUUACUGCAUACCACACAGGUUGGCCAUUUCAAGUCGUUACUUGAACAUGCCGGAAAAACCAACAUCGAAGAGUCUGUAUUUGUCAUUGUCAGCACCAAAGCACUUGAAAACAUAUAUCCAUAGAGCUGGAAGAACUGCCAGAGCAGGUUGCCUAGGGACUGCAGUAACAUUACUGCCUACCACACAGGUUGGCCAUUUCAAGUCGUUACUUGAACAUGCCGGAAAAACCAACAUCGAAGAGGUGAGUUAAAUUUUUUCAAUACUCCAACCUUGAGUCAGAAGUUUUUGCUUUGUUAGCUGCCUGAUUUCUGCGAUAAUAUGAAUUUUGAUUCCAGUCUGUAUUUGUCAUUGUCAGCACCAAAGCACUUGAAAACAUAUAUCCAUAGAGCUGGAAGAACUGCCAGAGCAGGUUGCCUAGGGACUGCAGUAACAUUACUGCAUACCACACAGGUUGGCCAUUUCAAGUCGUUACUUGAACAUGCCGGAAAAACCAACAUCGAAGAGGUGAGUUAAAUUUUUUCAAUACUCCAACCUUGAGUCAGAAGUUUUUGCUUUGUUAGCUGCCUGAUUUCUGCGAUAAUAUGAAUUUUGAUUCCAGUAUGUAUUUUCAUAUUCAGCACCAAAGCACUUGAAAACAUAUAUCCAUAGAGCUGGAAGAACUGCCAGAGCAGGUUGCCUAGGGACUGCAGUAACAUUACUGCAUACCACACAGGUUGGCCAUUUCAAGUCGUUACUUGAACAUGCCGGAAAAACCAACAUCGAAGAGGUUAAACUGCCUACUGAUGACCUGGAGUCAUUGGGAAAUACAUACAAAGAAGCAUUAGCAGAAUUGAAGAGAAUGCUAACAAAAGAAGAGGAAGAUCAUAUGAAGAGACUCAAAAAUACGAAACAGUUGAAAAGGAAAAGGAAUUCUGUCAAUUCUAAUUGAUUUAUAAUUAUUAUUAAUGUUGUACAUACAUUAUUAAAUUGUUUACUGUACAAAUAUUCAAUUCAGAACUCUUUGUAGAUAUUCUAAUAAACAAGACAGCUCUUCCUCAAAUACAGAGUUUUCGGAUACUUUCAUCCGAAAUUUCGUUCGGAAUUAUUUCCGAUUUCAAAGAACAGGAGCAGGAGCAUCUCUGUACGAAGAUGAGCGAUUAAAUCGCAAUGCUCGUCUUCGUAGAUGAUCCGCUGGAUGUUUUUCACAUAAUGAAUACGCAUUUGGAAUCGUGUAAUAAUUGUGCACAAGUCAUAAACGAAGAUUUAUUUGUUGAAAAAUGUUUACACCUUUUUCAUGAAAAAAGCCUAAGCAAAGCGGCCUCAUGCCCUGAGUACAAGCAAGAAAUGGGAGCUAAUUUAGUGGAAGGAGAGUGUGGCAUUUGUUUAGAGCCGUUGGAAAAACUUAUUUUCAUCACGAAGUGAAAACAUGCUUUUCACAAUGAUUGCAUUCAUAAAUGGGCCAAUACAAGCGGUAAAUGUCCUUAUUGCCGCAGCCUGGUCGAAGUGAAAGAUAUAGGGCUUAUGGUGGUGUUUUGUGCCACAAGUGCGUAAAGGAAAAGAUCGUCAGAGCCUUCCUUCUGGAAGAACAAAAAAAUGUUGUGAAAGUUAUGAAAGCUCAACAGGGUGUAAAAGCUGCUCCUUCUAAGAAAUAGUAUGGAAUAGCGAGUGAAACGGACAGCUCUUCCUCACAUACUGGUUAUUCUGAUAUUUUCAUCCGCAAUUUCGUUCGAAAUUAUUUCCAAUUCCGAAGAAUAGAAGCAGCAGCACCUCUGUACGAUGAAAAGCGAUUAAAUCGAAAUUAUCGUCUUCGUAGAUGAUCCAUUAAUCUUUGAUAAUAGUGCGAGUAAUAGUGUCGAGAACAUUAUUGGAUCGUCUGCGUUAUUUUAUAUUAUGUAAUUUUAUAUCAUUUUAUAUUAUGUAAUUUUAUAUCAUUUUAUUAUAAUAUUAUACUGCC
Harmonia axyridis is the source of this 4621-nucleotide RNA transcript. It is a transcript of the gene named ATP-dependent RNA helicase rok1-like, with no coding region annotated. The transcript is spliced from 6 exons. The record is from RefSeq and is a predicted model, not a curated record. Lineage: Eukaryota; Metazoa; Arthropoda; Insecta; Coleoptera; Coccinellidae.